AAGUCAUUUCAAAGAGAGUUAAUGGGACCAAAGCCAGGAGCUCUUAAUACUGUGACCUAGGAUGGAAGUUCUCUAUAGGAUGUAACAGAUACUCAACAGUGCUAUAUUUUCCUGAAGAGAUAUAAGG
Small nucleolar RNA from Molossus molossus (Pallas's mastiff bat), 127 nucleotides. RefSeq annotates it as small nucleolar RNA SNORA25. The record is from RefSeq and is a predicted model, not a curated record. NCBI's taxonomy places the organism in Eukaryota, Metazoa, Chordata, Mammalia, Chiroptera, Molossidae. The transcript has a single exon.